Apodemus sylvaticus (European woodmouse) is the source of this 1195-nucleotide non-coding RNA. The record is from the annotation of a RefSeq genome assembly. NCBI's taxonomy places the organism in Eukaryota, Metazoa, Chordata, Mammalia, Rodentia, Muridae.
UGAAAAUAAGCUAGACACAUCCUGGAGUUGGGGUGAAGGCAUCUCAGUAGUUUGACAGGAUCCAUGGAGAGGAGUCUAGAAACUGUGUUGGGGCUGCUGUGGAUAUGGCUUUGCUGGGUGAGAGGGAUGCAGGUGGUGCAGAAUCCUCCAGCCCUGAGUGUCCAUGAGGGAGCCAGCUCUGGCCUGAGAUGCAAUUUUUCUACCACCAUGACAGCUGUGCAGUGGUUCCAACAGAAUCCUGGGGGAAGCCUCAUUAGUCUGCUGUACAUGGCUCCAGGAACGAAGGAGAAUGGGAGGCUAAAGUCAACAUUCAAUUCUAAGGAGCGCUACAGCACCCUGCACAUCAGGGAAGCUCAGCUGAAGGAUGCAGGCACCUACCUCUGUGCAGGGCAGGCACAGUGGUCCCAGCAAGGCUAGAGCCUGGCCCCAAACUGCAGCUGGGUGACUAGCUACAGCCCCUGCCACAGUGAGAGUCUGUAGCGGCAUUUGCACAGCUGUGGGGUCCCAGGUUUAUGCUGCAUCUCUGUCAUUUCUGCUAACACUAGACUGUUCAAGACUGCUGUUUCACUUCAUUGUGCCCUUUCCCUCACAGAUUGCCAUGCUCUGGAACAAAUUCUUAUGAAGACUAUUGGAACAACUGACAAAGAUGACAAGGUUCAAAGUUCUGUUGGCACAGCAUUAACUGUUCAUAAAUUAAUGCUUGACAAAAGGCUUUAAAGAGACAUGCUUUUCAUCAAAACAAGAGGUGACUCAGAGGCCAUCCAGAGAUUGCCCCAACUGGGAUCCACUCCAUAUACUGUCACAAAACUCAGACAGACACUAAUGUGGAUGCAAACAAGUGCUUCCUAAUAAGAGCCUGAUAUAGCUGUCUCCUGAGAGGCUCUGCCAGUACCUGACAAAUACAGAGGUGGGUGCUCCCAGCCAACCAUUGGAUUGAUCACAAGGUUCCCAAUGGAAGAGCUAGAGAAAAGACCCAAGGAGCUGAAGGAUCUUUCACCCCUAUAGGAGGAACAAUAUUAUGAACCAACUAGUACCCCCAGAGCUCUCAGGGACUAAACUACCAACCAAGGAGUACACAUGGAGGGACCCAUGGCUCCAGCUGCAUAUGUGGCAGAGGAUGACCUUGUUGGACAUCAAAAGGAGGAGAGAACCUUUGGCCCUGAGAAAGCUCGAUGCCCCAGUAUAGGGGAAUACC